AGCUCCCAGGAAGCCACCUGAGUGGAGGAUCAGCUGGCCAUGAUAGACAGAAACGUGCCCGAAACAUGUGUUGGUGGUGGAUGCCCGCUUGGGGCGACCUUGUGCUGCUCACCUGUUCUUUCUUUCCCUCCAGGCGAAGUCCGCCUCGUCAGUUUGCACAUCCAGGCUCUGGUGGACGCUGGUGUUCCAGCCCGUGACAUUGCCGUGGUCUCGCCAUACAACCUCCAGGUGGACCUGCUCAGACAGAGCCUUGUGCACAGGCACCCCGAGCUUGAAAUCAAGUCUGUCGAUGGCUUCCAAGGCCGAGAGAAGGAGGCCGUGAUACUGUCCUUCGUCAGAUCCAACAGGAAAGGUGAAGUUGGUUUUCUUGCUGAGGACCGGAGGAUCAACGUGGCUGUCACCCGUGCCCGACGCCACGUGGCGGUCAUCUGUGACUCCCGUACUGUCAACAACCAUGCAUUUUUGAAGACCCUGGUGGAGUAUUUCACACAGCAUGGGGAAGUACGCACGGCCUUUGAGUAUCUUGACGAUAUUGUCCCAGAAAACUAUUCCCAUGAGAGCU
Molecule: small RNA, 562 nt
Filed under: Pan troglodytes (chimpanzee)
Lineage: Eukaryota; Metazoa; Chordata; Mammalia; Primates; Hominidae
Description: retained intron
Source: RNAcentral